AUUUCACCAAUUCAGUUUAGUUUAGAGAUACAGCGCGGAAACCACCAGCCCAUCGGUCCACCCAGACCGUGCCGGCCAGUGAUCGCCCCAUUCACACACACUAGAUUAGUUUAGAGA
Amblyraja radiata (thorny skate) is the source of this 117-nucleotide long non-coding RNA. RefSeq lists it as uncharacterized. NCBI's taxonomy places the organism in Eukaryota, Metazoa, Chordata, Chondrichthyes, Rajiformes, Rajidae. The record is from RefSeq and is a predicted model, not a curated record. The transcript is spliced from 3 exons.